RNAcentral lists this ribosomal RNA (162 nucleotides) under Disa miniata. Its description in RNAcentral is "5.8S ribosomal RNA". It matches the Rfam family "5.8S ribosomal RNA". Rfam says of the family: 5.8S ribosomal RNA (5.8S rRNA) is a component of the large subunit of the eukaryotic ribosome. It is transcribed by RNA polymerase I as part of the 45S precursor that also contains 18S and 28S rRNA. The record is from RNAcentral. Lineage: Eukaryota; Viridiplantae; Streptophyta; Magnoliopsida; Asparagales; Orchidaceae.
UAGGACUCCUGACAAUGGAUAUCUUGGCUCUCGCGUCGAUGAAGAACGCAGCGAAAUGCGAUACGUGGUGCGAAUUGCAUGAUCCCGUGAACCAUUGAGUUUUUGAACGCAUGUUGCGCCUGAAUCCAACUGGCCAAGGGCACGUCCGCCUGGGCGUCAAGC